UACGGAGGGUGCAAGCGUUAUCCGGAUUCACUGGGUUUAAAGGGUGCGUAGGCGGGCAUUUAAGUCAGUGGUGAAAUACCUGAGCUUAACUUGGGAACUGCCAUUGAUACUAUUUGUCUUGAAUGUCGUGGAGGUUAGCGGAAUAUGUCAUGUAGCGGUGAAAUGCUUAGAUAUGACAUAGAACACCAAUUGCGAAGGCAGCUGGCUACGCAUAUAUUGACACUGAGGCACGAAAGCGUGGGGAUCAAACAGG
RNAcentral lists this ribosomal RNA (253 nucleotides) under uncultured bacterium. RNAcentral's name for it is "partial 16S ribosomal RNA". It matches the Rfam family "Bacterial small subunit ribosomal RNA", at positions 524 to 776 of the family's 1533-position model. The record is from RNAcentral.